GACGAACGCUGGCGGCGUGCUUAACACAUGCAAGUCGAACGGAAAGGCCCUGCUUUUGUUGGUUUCUCGAGUGGCGAACGGGUGAGUAACACGUGAGUAACCUGCCCUUAACUUUGUGAUAACUUCACGAAACUGGGGCUAAUACCGGAUAUGAUCUCCUGCUGCAUGUUGGGCGUUGGAAAGUUUCGGCGGUUGGGGAUGUACUCGCGGCUUAUCAGCUUGUUGGUGGGGUAGUUGCUUACCAAGCCUUUGACGGGUAGCCGGCCUGAGAGGGUGACCGGCCACAUGGGGACUGAGAGACGGAGCAGAAUCGUACGGGAGGCAGCAGUGGGGAAUAUGGCAGAAUGGGCGGAAGCCUGAUGCAGAAACGCUGCGUGCGGGAUGAUGGGCUUCGGGUUGUAAACCGAUGUGGAAGGAGACGAAGAGUGAGUGACGGUAAUGGGUAAAGAAGCAACGGCUAACUACGUG
This 468-nucleotide ribosomal RNA is filed under the name uncultured bacterium. RNAcentral describes it as "partial 16S ribosomal RNA". It matches the Rfam family "Bacterial small subunit ribosomal RNA", at positions 28 to 507 of the family's 1533-position model. The record is from RNAcentral.